UAUAAAGUGGUGUUUGUGCACAGAAGAAUUUGGUUUUUCAGGGGAUAAGUUAGGUUAUCUUUUAUAG
Molecule: transfer RNA, 67 nt
Filed under: Nectonemertes cf. mirabilis HC-2011
Lineage: Eukaryota; Metazoa; Nemertea; Enopla; Monostilifera; Nectonemertidae
Description: tRNA-Gln
Source: RNAcentral